AAAGAAUUAGUUAAAUAAUAACAUUAGAUUGUCAAACUAAAAUUAUUAAAUUAUUAAUAUUCUUUA
This 66-nucleotide transfer RNA is filed under the name Ochthebius sp. IBE<ESP> AV177. RNAcentral's name for it is "tRNA-Asp". The record is from RNAcentral. Lineage: Eukaryota; Metazoa; Arthropoda; Insecta; Coleoptera; Hydraenidae.